This 235-nucleotide ribosomal RNA is filed under the name uncultured Glomus. RNAcentral's name for it is "partial 18S ribosomal RNA". It matches the Rfam family "Eukaryotic small subunit ribosomal RNA", at positions 548 to 785 of the family's 1831-position model. Lineage: Eukaryota; Fungi; Glomeromycota; Glomeromycetes; Glomerales; Glomeraceae. The record is from RNAcentral.
UUGGAGGGCAAGUCUGGUGCCAGCAGCCGCGGUAAUUCCAGCUCCAAUAGCGUAUAUUAAAGUUGUCGCAGUUAAAAAGCUCGUAGUUGAAUUUCGGGAUCAGUACGCUGGUCGUGCCUUCGGUAUGCACUGGUGUCACUGGUUCCUACCUUCUGAAGAACCGUCAUACCAUUCAGUUGGUGUGGCGGGGAAUCAGGACUGUUACUUUGAAAAAAUUAGAGUGUUUAAAGCAGGC